RNAcentral lists this long non-coding RNA (482 nucleotides) under Mus musculus (house mouse). Its description in RNAcentral is "predicted gene, 31025". The record is from RNAcentral. Lineage: Eukaryota; Metazoa; Chordata; Mammalia; Rodentia; Muridae.
AGAUGCCCCAUUCUUCUGCUGCUUAAGACUCCUACCCAUGUUUCCUGGCUCAUGAGCCCAGUCAUGGAAUGGACUGUCUGCUGUUUCCAACCUGAAGAUAAACUAAAAGUUCCCAGGCAAGCAGAAACUAGCAGCUAAGCGGGCUACAUACUAAAUCCAGUUCAUGUCAUCAACCAGGACAUGGGCAAUCUACCAGUGACCAUCUCCCCAAACAAAGGUGAGUUUUCUUUGCCCCGUAGCUAUAUACUGCAAACAGCUCCUCAGCUGGGACCUAAGAAGCCUUUUUUCCACCCUACAUGCUGUAAUUUUAACCUGGCUAGAUCUAAUGUGGGUAGCCAGAACUGCUGUAAGUCCAUGAACGUAAUGGCCAUGCUGUGUCCAAAAGUUAGAACGUCACAACACUUCUCCCAUUCUCUAUCUCUCACAUCCUUUCUGCCUCUCUUCUAUGAUGUUCUCUGAGCCCUGAGGUAGCAGUUUAAUAC